RNAcentral lists this transfer RNA (82 nucleotides) under Intoshia linei. It matches the Rfam family "tRNA". Rfam says of the family: Transfer RNA (tRNA) molecules are approximately 80 nucleotides in length. Their secondary structure includes four short double-helical elements and three loops (D, anti-codon, and T loops). Lineage: Eukaryota; Metazoa; Orthonectida; Rhopaluridae. The record is from Rfam by way of RNAcentral.
GGUAGCGUGGCCGAGUGGUCUAAGGCGCUGUGUUUAGGCCGCAGUCUCUUCGGAGGCGUGGGUUCGAAUCCCACCGCUGCCA